AACGAACGCUGGCGGCAUGCCUAACACAUGCAAGUCGAACGAACCCUUCGGGGUUAGUGGCGCAAGGGAGCGUAACGCGGGGGAAGCGGCCCUUGGCUUCGGAAUAACCCAGGGAAACUGGUGCAAAUACCGGAUGAUGUCUUCGGAACAAAGAAUUAUCGGCAAGGGAUGAGCCCGCGUAGGAUUAGGUAGUUGGUGGGGUAAAGGCCCACCGAGCCGACGAUCCUGAGCUGGUCUGAGAGGAUGACCAGCCACCCUGGGACUGAGACCCGGCCCAGAAGCCUACGGAAGGCAGCAGUUGUGACUAUUGGACAAUGGGCGCGAGCCUGACCCAGCAAUGCCGCGUGAGUGAUGAAGGCCCUCGGGUCGUAAAGCUCUUUUACCAGGGAUGAUAUUGACGGUACCUGGAGAAUAAGCUCCGGCUAACUCCGUG
This 433-nucleotide ribosomal RNA is filed under the name uncultured bacterium. RNAcentral's name for it is "partial 16S ribosomal RNA". It matches the Rfam family "Bacterial small subunit ribosomal RNA", at positions 29 to 507 of the family's 1533-position model. The record is from RNAcentral.